CAAUAACAGUGACUCCAAAAUGGCCUGUUUUAGUCCUAUUGGGAGAAAGAGGAACAGGUUUCUAGUCCUACUGGGAGAAAGAGGAACAGGUUUCUAGUCCUACUGGGAGAAAGAGGAACAGGUUUCUAGUCCUACUGGGAGAAAGAGGAACAGGUUUCUAGUCCUACUGGGAGAAAGAGGAACAGGUUUCUAGUCCUACUGGGAGAAAGAGGCAUAACAGCUAUGGUUUCUAGUCCUACUGGAAGAAAGAGGAACAGGUUUCUAGUCCUACUGGGAGAAAGAGGAACAGGUUUCUAGUCCUACUGGGAGAAAGAGGAACAGGUUUCUAGUCCUACUGGGAGAAAGAGGAACAGGUUUCUAGUCCUACUGGGAGAAAGAGGAACAGGUUUCUAGUCCUACUGGGAGAAAGAGGAACAG
Non-coding RNA from Salmo salar (Atlantic salmon), 417 nucleotides. Lineage: Eukaryota; Metazoa; Chordata; Actinopteri; Salmoniformes; Salmonidae. The record is from RefSeq and is a predicted model, not a curated record.